Molecule: ribosomal RNA, 497 nt
Filed under: uncultured bacterium
Lineage: Bacteria
Description: partial 16S ribosomal RNA
Rfam family: Bacterial small subunit ribosomal RNA
Source: RNAcentral
GAUGAACGCUGGCGGCGUGCCUAAUACAUGCAAUUCGAGCGAACAGACGAGGAGCUUGCUCCUCUGACGUUAGCGGCGGACGGGUGAGUAACACGUGGAUAACCUACCUAUAAGACUGGGAUAACUUCGGGAAACCGGAGCUAAUACCGGAUAAUAUAUUGAACCGCAUGGUUCAAUAGUGAAAGACGGUUUUGCUGUCACUUAUAGAUGGAUCCGCGCCGCAUUAGCUAGUUGGUAAGGUAACGGCUUACCAAGGCGACGAUGCGUAGCCGACCUGAGAGGGUGAUCGGCCACACUGGAACUGAGACACGGUACAGACUCCUACGGGAGGCAGCAGUAGGGAAUCUUCCGCAAUGGGCGAAAGCCUGACGGAGCAACGCCGCGUGAGUGAUGAAGGUCUUCGGAUCGUAAAACUCUGUUAUUAGGGAAGAACAAAUGUGUAAGUAACUAUGCACGUCUUGACGGUACCUAAUCAGAAAGCCACGGCUAACUACGUG